CCUGCCAGUAAUCAUAUGCUUGUCUUAAAGACUAAGCCAUGCAAGUCUAAGGAUAAAUAACUUUAUCGUAAACCUGCAAACGGCUCAUUAAAUCAGUUUAAAUCUACUCGGUUAUAUAAUUUUAAUUGGAUAACUGUAGUAAUUCUAGAGCUAAUACAUGCAAAAAACCCAAACGUAAGGAUGGGUGUAAUUAUUUGACGUCAAAAUCAAUACGGGCAUUCAACUUAGAUUAUAGCAAUAUUUUCUAGGGUCCGUUUUGUUUAUGAUUAAAAAUAAAUUUACGAAUCACGAUUUAAUUCUGUGAUAACACGAACGAUAUUCUGCCCUAUCAACUUUCGAUGGUAAGGUAGAGGCUUACCAUGGUUAUUACGGGUAACGGGGAAUUUGGGUUUGAUUCCGGAGAAAAGGCCUGAGAGACGGCCAUUACUUCUAAGGAAGGCAGCAGGCGCGUAAAUUACCCAAUCCUAAUCCGGGGAGGUAGUGACGAGAAAUACUUGUAUUGGCUCCAAUGGAGACAAUGAUAGGAAUGAGAACAACGUAAAUAACUUAACGACUAACAAUUGGAGGGCAAGUCUGGUGCCAGCAGCCGCGGUAAUUCCAGCUCCAAGAGUGUAUAUUAAAGUUGUUGCAGUUAAAACGCUCGUAGUUGGCUCUCGACUCAGUCGCUUAAAAUAAUAAUUAUAUUAUUAUUUGACUUGACUGAGCCUACUUAUAAGGAUGAAAAUUCUUAUUAGUUUACUGUGAACAAAUUAGAGUGUUUAAAGCAGGCUCGCGCCUAGAUAUUUCAGCAUGGAAUAAUAUAAUAUGACAGUAGUCUAAUUUUGUUGGUUUAUUAGAUUAUUGUAAUGAUUAAUAGGGACAGUCGGGGUCACUUGUAUUAGCUCGCUAGGGGUGAAAUCCUAUGAUUGAGUUAAGACAAACUACUGCGAAAGCAUUUGACCAGUAUGUUUUCUUUAAUCAAGAACGAAAGUUGGGGGAUCGAAGAUGAUCAGAUACCGUCGUAGUCUCAACCGUAAACGAUGUCGACUUAGGAUUAGGUAAUAUUACAUGGAUGAUUUACCUAGCACUAUGUGAGAAAUCAUAAGUAUUCAGACUCUGGGGGGAGUAUGGUCGCAAGACUGAAACUUAAAGGAAUUGACGGAAGGGCACCACCAGGCGUGGAAUCUGCG
RNAcentral lists this ribosomal RNA (1169 nucleotides) under uncultured soil eukaryote. RNAcentral describes it as "SSU rRNA". It matches the Rfam family "Eukaryotic small subunit ribosomal RNA", at positions 13 to 1187 of the family's 1831-position model. The record is from RNAcentral.